This 75-nucleotide microRNA precursor is filed under the name Myotis davidii. Its description in RNAcentral is "mir-9229 microRNA precursor family". It matches the Rfam family "mir-9229 microRNA precursor family". The record is from Rfam by way of RNAcentral. Lineage: Eukaryota; Metazoa; Chordata; Mammalia; Chiroptera; Vespertilionidae.
GAGACCACCUUCUGGGGCAAGACUUGCUUCAGUGGGGCUUUGGUGCUCACUGAGUCUUCCCCCUGAGUUGGAUCU